RNAcentral lists this ribosomal RNA (495 nucleotides) under uncultured bacterium. RNAcentral describes it as "bacterial SSU rRNA". It matches the Rfam family "Bacterial small subunit ribosomal RNA", at positions 30 to 521 of the family's 1533-position model. The record is from RNAcentral.
AUUGAACGCUGGCGGCGUGCCUAACACAUGCAAGUCGAGCGAGAAUUUCGCAGCGGAAUCCUUCGGGAGGAAGCAGUGAAAGGAAAGCGGCGGACGGGUGAGUAACGCGUGAGUAACCUGCCUUCAGGAGGGGGAUAACAUUCCGAAAGGGGUGCUAAUACCGCAUGACAUUGUUUUUCUGCAUGGAAGAACAAUCAAAGAUUUAUCGCCUGAAGAUGGCCUCGCGUCUGAUUAGCUAGAUGGUGGGGUAACGGCCCACCAUGGCGACGAUCAGUAGCCGGACUGAGAGGUUGACCGGCCACAUUGGGACUGAGAUACGGCCCAGACUCCUACGGGAGGCAGCAGUGGGGAAUAUUGGGCAAUGGACGCAAGUCUGACCCAGCAACGCCGCGUGAAGGAAGAAGGCUUUCGGGUUGUAAACUUCUUUGUCAGGGAAGAGUAGAAGACGGUACCCGACGAAUAAGCCACGGCUAACUACGUGCCAGCAGCCGCGGU